AGUGACAAAUAUAGCCACCCUUCUUUUUAAUAACUGCCAUGAGUGUAAAGCUCACGUUUGAGAAGAGUAAAAAAGAUCUCAAUAGGAUUUAAGUCAGGUAAGGAAGGGGGCCAUGUCAUUAUUCUGGCAUCUUUGAGGCCCUUGCUUGCUAGCCAAGCAGUGGCCCAGAUAGCACACAUACGUUUUGCCGAUGUCAGCAUAAGAUCGGAAGAUCGAAAGCGGUUUAGAGCGUCGAGGGGAGGUCGACUGUACGCGUGAACGACGGAAAGAAAUGUGUGGCCAGGAAAUGGGUCUGAGAUGGGCGGUUCCAUGCGUUAACGCUGUACAAUGCUGCACAGUUUUUUCCAUGGCCAUUUAUUUCCUGACCAAAGUCCGAUACAGACCUUAUCCGGCGACAAGAUAUUUUUGUUACAAAAUCAUUUUCAUAGAACAUAAGAUUGUUCAAAUCUCCCCACAACCAGGAUGGAAGCAAUACCCAGCACCAGUACUCUUUGAAACAGAAUAUCUUCACAAGAUUACAGAGCAGUGGGAGAAGUCAUGUGUGACAUCAGACCUCAACACUAACUAGGAGCAAGAAUGCCAAAGCGACAGACAACUUAUCAAACUUUGGUCGUCCUCCUCCUCAACAUCUUCAUCUUCCUUCCAACACCUCUCAACUUUUCCACUAAAAAGUCUCUAACCAUCCAGAUCCAAGUUCCAGACCAGACCAUCAUCUGAAAGGAAUUAACUUAAAUUGACAUGGUGAUUAACCUACCACAACACAGCGAGUUGGAGGCCAGGAGUGGAGGUCCAACCUACAACUUCAAGUCAAAUGGAAGAAAGUAACACUCUUGGAACUCCAAGACCUUGUUUUCAGACCUGUGAGCAACGUGUCCCACCCAACUCUACAGUACUUGUUGUUCAAUAUUAUAAAUAAAAUGACGGCAGGGUCGUUUGGAAAGACUUUGCACCUACUUCAAACACCUGAUUCAACUAAAAUGUUAAAGUAGUAUGACAACCCCUAACAGUACGAGUGUGCAGUUUUAAUGCUUUGUUUGCAUUUCAGACCUCAAAGUUGUCCUCAACCGGGGACAGAAUGUUAAGCAAACCGUGUGGUAUGUGUUCGAGAAGGUCUUCACACUGGACUUUGCAACCCAACUGAACUGGUUUCGGGAGGGGGCAGAAGACUGUCAUCUGGUCAAUGCAACUGAAAGAUGCUAUUUUGUGUUCUGUUCUUUAAAACCCACGUUUGCCAGGAAUUACUGAGUUCGAGGUUGAAAGGGCGGGGACGGCAGCUGGAGAGAGAGACCUGCGGAAGAAGAGGACGAUUAAUUUGUAGCCUAUAUAAUGCACAGUUCUAUAUCGUGAAGCUUUGCC
Long non-coding RNA from Esox lucius (northern pike), 1356 nucleotides. Lineage: Eukaryota; Metazoa; Chordata; Actinopteri; Esociformes; Esocidae. The record is from Ensembl.